Molecule: small RNA, 439 nt
Filed under: Pongo abelii (Sumatran orangutan)
Lineage: Eukaryota; Metazoa; Chordata; Mammalia; Primates; Hominidae
Description: retained intron
Source: RNAcentral
GGGUGACAGAGCGAGACUCCAUCUCAAAAAAAAUAAAUAAAAAAGGGAGAAAAGAUGCUGGCUCCUGGAUCCACUCUUGUGUGUUUCUUUUGACAGGCAUUACGAGAUUGGACGACCAAAUAUUUCUGAACAGGAACCCCGGCGUCCCCUCUGUGGUGAAAUUCCACCCCUUCACGCCGUGCAUCGCCGUAGCCGACAAGGACAGCAUCUGCUUUUGGGACUGGGAGAAAGGGGAGAAGCUGGAUUAUUUCCACAACGGGAACCCUCGGUACACGAGGGUCACUGCCAUGGAGUAUCUGAACGGCCAGGACUGCUCGCUUCUGCUGACGGCCACAGACGAUGGUGCCAUCAGAGUCUGGAAGAAUUUUGCUGAUUUGGAAAAGAACCCAGAGAUGGUGACCGCGUGGCAGGGGCUCUCAGACAUGCUGCCAACGACGCG